UAUUUAUUUAUUUGUUUAAAUUAUUAAAAAUAAUUAUAUAAUGUAAUGUUUUAGUAUAUAAUAUAGAAAAAAUAAUAUUAAUAAUAGUUUAAUAGUAUUGUGUAAUAAAAUUGAAAUAUUUGAAAAAUUUUUAUUAUAAAAGUAAAUUUAAUUUAUUGUACCUUGUGUAUCAGGGUUUAUUAAUUAAAAAUUAUUUAUUAUAAUUUUCUCGAUUUUAAAAGAGUUAAUAUAUUAUGGAAGUUAGUGUAAUAAAAUUAUUUUUAAUAAUAUAUUAGUAAUGAAAUGUUAUUCGUUUUUAAAGGUAUCUAGUUCUUUAAGAAAUAAAUUUAAUUUAGAAAUUUUAUAUUAUUUAAUUAAGUAAAUUAAUUAAAUAAUUAUUUUAUUUUAAUAUUUUAUGGGAUAAGCUAUAAAAUAAAAUUUUAAAAAUUUAUUAAUUAAUUAAUAAAUAUAAGCUUAGAAAUAGUUAUUAUUAAUAAAAAUGUUAUAAUUUAUUUUAUAAUAAUUAAUUAUUUAUUUGAAUUUUAAAUAUUUAUUAAAGUAUUUAUUUAAAUUAAAAAAAUAAAAAAAUAAUGAUAUAAUUAGUAUAAAUUAUUAUAUAAAUAUUUUUUUGUGAUAAGUUAUUAUAAGGAAUUCGGCAAAAAUAAUGUUCGCCUGUUUAACAAAAACAUGUCUUUUUUUGUUUAUAAAAAGUUUAACCUGCCCACUGAAUAUUUUAAUGGCCGCAGUAUUUUAACUGUGCAAAGGUAGCAUAAUCAUUAGUCUUUUAAUUGAAGGCUUGUAUGAAUGGUUGGACGAAAUAUUAACUGUCUUAAUUAAAUUUUUUUUUGAAUUUAAUUUUUUAGUUAAAAAGCUAAAAUUUAUUUAAAAGACGAGAAGACCCUAUAAAUCUUUAUAUUGGAAUUAUUAUUAUUAUUUAGGUUUAUUUUAUAAUAAUAAUUAAUAAUAUUUUAUUGGGGUGAUAUUAAAAUUUAUAUAACUUUUAAUUUUUAUUUACAUUGAUUUAUGAAUAAAUGAUCCAUUUUUAUUGAUUAAAAAUACAAGUUACUUUAGGGAUAACAGCGUAAUUUUUUUGGAGAGUUCUUAUCGAUAAAAAAGAUUGCGACCUCGAUGUUGGAUUAAGAAAUAAUUUUAGGUGUAGUAGCUUAAAUUUUAAGUCUGUUCGACUUUUAAAUUCUUACAUGAUCUGAGUUCAAACCGGUGUAAGCCAGGUUGGUUUCUAUCUUUAAAAAUUUAAAAUAUUUUAGUACGAAAGGACCUAAUAUUUAAUAAAUUAUUAUUUAAAAAUUGAAUUAAAUUAAUAAUUA
Molecule: ribosomal RNA, 1304 nt
Filed under: Tachina punctocincta
Lineage: Eukaryota; Metazoa; Arthropoda; Insecta; Diptera; Tachinidae
Description: 16S ribosomal RNA
Source: RNAcentral